This 392-nucleotide ribosomal RNA is filed under the name uncultured bacterium. RNAcentral describes it as "partial 16S ribosomal RNA". It matches the Rfam family "Bacterial small subunit ribosomal RNA", at positions 523 to 918 of the family's 1533-position model. The record is from RNAcentral.
AUACGGAGGAUCCGAGCGUUAUCCGGAUUUAUUGGGUUUAAAGGGUGCGCAGGCGGCCAUUUAAGUCAGCGGUUAAAUCGUGGGGCUCAACCCCAUUCUGCCGUUGAUACUGGGUGGCUUGAUUGCGGUCGAGGUUGGCGGAAUUCGUUGUGUAGCGGUGAAAUGCAUAGAUAUGACGAAGAACACCGAUUGCGUAGGCAGCUGACCAGACCGCAAAUGACGCUCAUGCACGAAAGUGCGGGGAUCGAACAGGAUUAGAUACCCUGGUAGUCCGCACAGUAAACGAUAAAUACUUGUUUUCGGCGAUAUAAUGUCGGAGGCAAAGCGAAAGCGAUAAGUAUUCCACCUGGGGAGUACGCCGGCAACGGUGAAACUCAAAGGAAUUGACGGGG